AUACGUAGGGGGCAAGCGUUGUCCGGAUUUAUUGGGCGUAAAGGGCACGCAGGCGGUCUUCUAAGUCAGAUGUGUAAGGUCUCGGCUCAACCGAGAAGUUGCAUCUGAAACUGGGGGACUUGAGUGCAGGAGAGGAGAGUGGAAUUCUCGGUGUAGCGGUGGAAUGCGUAGAGAUCGGGAGGAACACCAGUGGCGAAGGCGACUCUCUGGCCUGUAACUGACGCUGAGGUGCGAAAGCGUGGGGAGCGAACAGGAUUAGAUACCCUGGUAGUCCACGCCGUAAACGAUGAGUGCUAGGUGUUGGGGGCGUUACGCCCUCAGUGCCGAAGGAAACCCAAUAAGCACUCCGCCUGGGGAGUACGGCCGCAAGGCUGAA
Molecule: ribosomal RNA, 376 nt
Filed under: uncultured bacterium
Lineage: Bacteria
Description: bacterial SSU rRNA
Rfam family: Bacterial small subunit ribosomal RNA
Source: RNAcentral